AAGAUCCAAGAGGAAGAUCGGUAGCAAGAGGAUCAAGACAAAUAGAAUAGGUAGGAUCUUGUACUUUUGUUUCCAGUUUUAUAUUUUGUAAUAAAAGGAGCAACGAACCGGAAACUCGACGGGACCUCAACUCGACUCUCCAAUUCAUCCACUCAUUCCUACACCCAUUGGAACUACACGUGACCUGAUUCUCUUAUAACCCGAGAUAUGUAGGAUGCCCAAAGCCAGGGCUCGGUCACACCUCUUUCCCACUUAUUUACGUAUUAAUAUUGAAUAAAGGGUUGGGCCAAAAAAUUAGUCAUGUUUACUUCUUUGCUUGAAGAUUCUUCAGAUUUUCAAGCAAAGAGGGGCAUUCUGUAAACACCUAAUUUUUUACCAAACCUAAGUGUUUUUGCCAUUUUAGUGUUCAAUUUCGUUUUAGGGUCUAAAUUAGAUAUUUUAAAUUUAUCUUAUUUUUACUAAAUUUAUUUUAAAA
Molecule: long non-coding RNA, 475 nt
Filed under: Capsicum annuum
Lineage: Eukaryota; Viridiplantae; Streptophyta; Magnoliopsida; Solanales; Solanaceae
Description: long non-coding RNA (CANN_LNC010923)
Source: RNAcentral